Molecule: ribosomal RNA, 301 nt
Filed under: uncultured bacterium
Lineage: Bacteria
Description: partial 16S ribosomal RNA
Rfam family: Bacterial small subunit ribosomal RNA
Source: RNAcentral
CAGCCGCCGCGGGAAUACGUAGGUGGCAAGCGUUGUCCGGAAUUAUUGGGCGUAAAGCGCGCGCAGGCGGAUCGGUCAGUCUGUCUUAAAAGUUCGGGGCUUAACCCCGUGAUGGGAUGGAAACUGCCAAUCUAGAGUAUCGGAGAGGAAAGUGGAAUUCCUAGUGUAGCGGUGAAAUGCGUAGAUAUUAGGAAGAACACCAGUGGCGAAGGAGACUUUCUGGACGAAAACUGACGCUGAGGCGCGAAAGCCAGGGGAGCGAACGGGAUUAGAUACCCCAGUAGUCCCUGUCUCUUAUACA